GGAUGAACGGGUGGCGGUGCUCGAGGUUGGAGAGGACGGAGGGGAUGAGUGGCUCGAGGAUCUCGGGCUCCGACAGGCGGCAGAGGAAGCGGAGCGUGGCGCCGCGGAUGAACUCGUUGGGGCUCUGGAGGUUGUUGCGGAGGUUCUGGCAGAUGAGGAUCAUUUCAGGGAGGACACGGCCGCGGGCGUCGGUCUUGUCGAUGAUCUCGAGGUAGAGGAGGAGGAGCUUCUGGAUGGUGUGGUCCUCGGAGGGGAGGACGUAGCGGACGAUGGUGAUGAAGAGCUGGGGAAGGGUUUCGCCGUUGAGGAGGAGCAUGACGGCGCGCUUCAUCGCCUCGAUCUUGGCCUGG
Molecule: unclassified non-coding RNA, 350 nt
Filed under: Hevea brasiliensis (rubber tree)
Lineage: Eukaryota; Viridiplantae; Streptophyta; Magnoliopsida; Malpighiales; Euphorbiaceae
Source: RNAcentral